CAGCCGUAAACUAUGCGCGUUAGGUGUACUGGUGACCACGAGUCACCGGGGUGCCGAAGGGAAACCGUGAAACGUGCCGCCUGGGAAGUACGGUCGCAAGGCUGAAACUUAAAGGAAUUGGCGGGGGAGCACAACAACGGGUGGAGCCUGCGGUUUAAUUGGACUCAACGCCGGACAACUCACCGGGGACGACAGCAAUAUGUAGGCCAGGCUGAAGACCUUGCCUGAAUCGCUGAGAGGAGGUGCAUGGCGUAG
RNAcentral lists this ribosomal RNA (255 nucleotides) under uncultured archaeon. RNAcentral's name for it is "partial 16S ribosomal RNA". It matches the Rfam family "Archaeal small subunit ribosomal RNA", at positions 748 to 1002 of the family's 1478-position model. The record is from RNAcentral.